UUCGAGCGACGUAUUGACAGAUUGUUUGUUCAAUUCAUUAUUUAUUGUUUUCGAGCAAACAACAUCUUAUGAAAAAAAUUGCAUUGAAAUGAGAGUAUAAAUAUCUAAAUAUGUUCUCGUUAUUUUAUAUUCUUGAAAGAAUACUCGAUUAAGUGGUUAACGUAAAAUUUAUAAACAUGAACGCAAAUACAGCUGUUGUUUUGCUGCUCCUUUUUCUGCAAUGCUACGAAGGGCGUAAAAUAUCUUCAGAAAAAGAUGCACCUGCUUCCGUUGACAAAGUUUAUCCAAAAAUGCUGUUUCGUUUUACCCAAAAUGAAUGUAACAGAAGCCACUGCUUCCCCCCCGAUUCGAAGAUGGCAAAAACUCAUCUUACUCAAAAAAUCCAAUAGUGCUUGAGUGGCUUCCAAUGAUCAUGAGUACAAAUGUGUUAUGAAAAAAAAAAUUAUUGUACUCGAGCAUUACUACACAGAAUAUUUCAAAAAUAAAAAUAUUAUCUCAUUA
This is a long non-coding RNA of Parasteatoda tepidariorum (common house spider), 501 nucleotides long. RefSeq lists it as uncharacterized. Lineage: Eukaryota; Metazoa; Arthropoda; Arachnida; Araneae; Theridiidae. The record is from RefSeq and is a predicted model, not a curated record.